GCUCCCGUAGUUCAAUGGAUAGAGCAACGGCCUCCGGAGCCGUAGAUCUGGGUUCGAAUCCCAGCGGGAGUACCA
Molecule: transfer RNA, 75 nt
Filed under: Puniceicoccus vermicola
Lineage: Bacteria; Pseudomonadati; Verrucomicrobiota; Opitutia; Puniceicoccales; Puniceicoccaceae
Description: tRNA-Arg
Rfam family: tRNA
About the family: Transfer RNA (tRNA) molecules are approximately 80 nucleotides in length.
Source: RNAcentral